RNAcentral lists this non-coding RNA (128 nucleotides) under Bacillus subtilis. RNAcentral's name for it is "FMN riboswitch (RFN element)". It matches the Rfam family "FMN riboswitch aptamer (RFN element)". From Rfam's summary of the family: The RFN element is a highly conserved domain that is found frequently in the 5'-untranslated regions of prokaryotic mRNAs that encode for flavin mononucleotide (FMN) biosynthesis and transport proteins. This element is a metabolite-dependent riboswitch that directly binds FMN in the absence of proteins. The record is from RNAcentral. Lineage: Bacteria; Bacillati; Bacillota; Bacilli; Caryophanales; Bacillaceae.
AUCUUCGGGGCAGGGUGAAAUUCCCUACCGGCGGUGAUGAGCCAAUGGCUCUAAGCCCGCGAGCUGUUUUUACAGCAGGAUUCGGUGAGAUUCCGGAGCCGACAGUACAGUCUGGAUGGGAGAAGAUG